Molecule: ribosomal RNA, 504 nt
Filed under: uncultured bacterium
Lineage: Bacteria
Description: partial 16S ribosomal RNA
Rfam family: Bacterial small subunit ribosomal RNA
Source: RNAcentral
ACUCAAAUGAAUUGACGGGGGCCCGCACAAGCGGUGGAGCAUGGGGAUUAAUUCGUCACUAACCGAAGAACCUUACCAGGGUUUGACAUCCGCGGAAAGGGCGUGAAAGCGUUCCCCUCCGGGGUAACUCGGACCGCGAGACAGGUGUUGCAUGGCUGUCGUCAGCUCGUGUCGUGAGAUGUUGGGUUAAGUCCCGCAACGAGCGCAACCCUCACGCGAUGUUGCCAGCGUGAAAGACGGGAACUCUUCGCGAACUGCCCGGGUAACCGGGAGGAAGGUGGGGAUGACGUCAAGUCGGCAUGGCCCUUACACCCUGGGCUUCACCCAUGCUACAAUGGGCGCGACAGAGGGAGCGCAAGACCGCGAGGUGGAGCCAAUCCCAAAAAGGCGCUCUCAGUUCGGAUUGCAGGCUGCAACUCGCCUGCAUGAAGUCGGAAUCGCUAGUAACCGCCGGUCAGCUAAACGGCGGUGAAUACGUUCCCGGGCCUUGCACACACCGCCCGU